Molecule: ribosomal RNA, 419 nt
Filed under: Hyalomma excavatum
Lineage: Eukaryota; Metazoa; Arthropoda; Arachnida; Ixodida; Ixodidae
Description: partial 16S ribosomal RNA
Rfam family: Bacterial large subunit ribosomal RNA (bases 274-419)
Source: RNAcentral
AUUACAAUGGUAUUGUAAUAAGAUUUUUAUACUCUGCAAUGCUAAAAGAAUGGAAAUUUAAAAAAAAACUUUUUUAAAAAUAAAAAUUGAAUUUUUUUUAAUUUGUGCAAAAACAAUUAUUAUUAUUAAAGACAAGAAGACCCUAAGAAUUUAUGAUUUUGUAAUUAAAAGUUUUUUUUUAAAAAUCUUGAUUGGGGCGAUCAAAAAAUAUUAAUAACUUUUUAAAUUUAAAUUGAUCUAUUAUUAAUAAACUAAUGAAUUAAAUACUCUAGGGAUAACAGCGUAAUAAUUUUUGAUAGAUCUUAUUGACAAAAUAGUUUGCGACCUCGAUGUUGGAUUAGGAUUCUUUUUUAAUGAAGAAGUUAAAAAAAGAAGUUUGUUCAACUUUUAAAUUCCUACUUGAUCUGAGUUCAGACCGG